This is a non-coding RNA of Paragonimus skrjabini miyazakii, 81 nucleotides long. NCBI's taxonomy places the organism in Eukaryota, Metazoa, Platyhelminthes, Trematoda, Plagiorchiida, Troglotrematidae. The record is from the annotation of a GenBank genome assembly.
GGCUUCGUAGCUCAGCUGGUAGAGCAUGUUUCGCGUUUGAGCAUGUUGUUUCUAUCGCUGGUUCGAAUUCAGCCGAAGUCC